GGCGUAGGCGGGGAUGCAAGUCAGAUGUGAAAGCCCGGGGCUCAACCCCGGAACGGCAUUUGAAACUGCAUUUCUAGAGGAUAGGCGGAGAAAACGGAAUUCCACAUGUAGCGGUGAAAUGCGUAGAUAUGUGGAAGAACACCGGUGGCGAAGGCGGUUUUCUAGCUUAGGCCUGACGCUGAGGCCCGGAAGCAAGGGGAGAAC
Molecule: ribosomal RNA, 204 nt
Filed under: uncultured bacterium
Lineage: Bacteria
Description: partial 16S ribosomal RNA
Rfam family: Bacterial small subunit ribosomal RNA
Source: RNAcentral